Molecule: ribosomal RNA, 440 nt
Filed under: uncultured bacterium
Lineage: Bacteria
Description: partial 16S ribosomal RNA
Rfam family: Bacterial small subunit ribosomal RNA
Source: RNAcentral
CCUACGGGGGGCAGCAGUGGGGAAUAUUGCACAAUGGGGGGAACCCUGAUGCAGCGACGCCGCGUGAGUGAAGAAGUAUUUCGGUAUGUAAAGCUCUAUCAGCAGGGAAGAAAAUGACGGUACCUGACUAAGAAGCCCCGGCUAACUACGUGCCAGCAGCCGCGGUAAUACGUAGGGGGCAAGCGUUAUCCGGAUUUACUGGGUGUAAAGGGAGCGCAGACGGCUGUGCAAGUCUGGAGUGAAAGGCGGGGGUCCAACCCCCGGACUGCUCUGGAAACUGUAAAGCUGGAGUGCAGGAGAGGUAAGCGGAAUUCCUAGUGUAGCGGUGAAAUGCGUAGAUAUUAGGAGGAACACCAGUGGCGAAGGCGGCUUACUGGACUGCAACUGACGUUGAGGCUCGAAAGCGUGGGGAGCAAACAGGAUUAGAUACCCCUGUAGUC